RNAcentral lists this ribosomal RNA (321 nucleotides) under uncultured bacterium. RNAcentral describes it as "bacterial SSU rRNA". It matches the Rfam family "Bacterial small subunit ribosomal RNA", at positions 28 to 334 of the family's 1533-position model. The record is from RNAcentral.
GAUGAACGCUAGCGACAGGCCUAACACAUGCAAGUCGAGGGGCAGCGGGGAGCGAAGCUUGCUUUGCUCCGCCGGCGACCGGCGCACGGGUGAGUAACGCGUAUGCAACCUGCCCGUUUCAGCGGGAUAACCCGGAGAAAUCCGGCCUAAUACCGCAUGUGGCCGAGGGGAGGCAUCUUCUUUCGGCCAAAGGAGGCGACUCCGGAGACGGAUGGGCAUGCGGGACAUUAGCGUGUUGGCGGGGUAACGGCCCACCAAGGCGACGAUGUCUAGGGGUUCUGAGAGGAAGGUCCCCCACACUGGUACUGAGACACGGACCAG